AUUGAACGCUGGCGGCACGCCUAACAUAUGCAAGUCGAACGGCAGCACGGAGAGUAGCAAUACUUUUGGGUGGCGAGUGGCGGACGGGUGAGUAACGCGUAGGAAUCUACCCUAGAGAUGAGGAUAACUUGGGGAAACUCAAGCUAAUACUGAAUACGCCCUUAGGGGUAAAGGUUGCGCAAGCAGCCGCUUUAGGAUGAGCCUGCGUUAGAUUAGCUAGUUGGUGGGGUAAAGGCCUACCAAGGCGACGAUCUAUAGCUGUUCUGAGAGGAAGAUCAGCCACACUGGGACUGAGACACGGCCCAGACUCCUACGGGAGGCAGCAGUGGGGAAUCUUAGACAAUGGGCGCAAGCCUGAUCUAGCCAUGCCGCGUGAGCGAUGAAGGCCUUAGGGUUGUAAAGCUCUUUCAGUGGGGAAGAUAAUGACUGUACCCACAGAAGAAGCCCCGGCUAACUCCGUGCCAGCAGCCGCGGUAAAGUCUAG
This 484-nucleotide ribosomal RNA is filed under the name uncultured bacterium. Its description in RNAcentral is "bacterial SSU rRNA". It matches the Rfam family "Bacterial small subunit ribosomal RNA", at positions 30 to 530 of the family's 1533-position model. The record is from RNAcentral.